AGGCCACAGGCUUCUCUCGCCUCUUUCCGGGUCUCACAUCACACCUGCUCAUGCUGCCAUGCUGGUUCCAAGUGCCUCUCUUCCGAGAUUACAUCAUGACCAGUGGGUUUCUCUCCUUUGGAGAGAAUGAGCUCUUCUAGCAGUAUCCCAACCCGCCAGGCUCCUGGGUGCGGAGGGUGCAGGAAGCUCUUCACGCGAUGCUGAGUGUGGCCCUGCCUCUCUUUCAUGGUUGCCUGGGUCUCCUGAUACCCUUCCGUGUGCCCAUCCACACCGUGGUGGGUGCCCAAUUCCAGUCCAGCGAAGCCCGAGGCCCAGCCAGGAUCAGGUGGAUCAGUUGCACCAGUUGUAUGUAUGUAGAGGGGCUCAUACAGCUGUUUGAGGGAUACAAGAAACGAUUUAGUGUCCCUGCUGAUCAACACCUUGUUCUCACCUAGGCAUGUCCGUGUCCCUGUGUCCUGGCCUUCCUGACUGCAGGGGUUGGGGGUGGGGGAUGGAAUUAAAUGUGGAAACAGACAAGAAG
This 520-nucleotide long non-coding RNA is filed under the name Cricetulus griseus (Chinese hamster). Its description in RNAcentral is "lncRNA (ENSCGRG00015035837.1)". Lineage: Eukaryota; Metazoa; Chordata; Mammalia; Rodentia; Cricetidae. The record is from RNAcentral.